This 297-nucleotide unclassified non-coding RNA is filed under the name plant metagenome. RNAcentral describes it as "partial contains small subunit ribosomal RNA and internal transcribed spacer 1". The stretch from base 1 to 46 matches the Rfam family "Eukaryotic small subunit ribosomal RNA", at positions 1786 to 1831 of the family's 1831-position model. The record is from RNAcentral.
AAGUCGUAACAAGGUUUCCGUAGGUGAACCUGCGGAAGGAUCAUUAACUAAUGUAUUGGCACUUUACUGGGAUUUACUUCUCAGUAUUGUUUGCUUCUAUACUGUGAACCUCUGGCGAUGAAGGUCGUAACUGACCUUCGGGAGAGACUCAGGACAUAUAGGCUAUAAUGGGUAGGCCUGUUCUGGGGUUUGAUCGAUGCCAAUCAGGAUUACCUUUCUUCCUUUGGGGAAGGAAGGUGCCUGGUACCCUUUACCAUAUACCAUGAAUUCAGAAUCGAAAGUAUAAUAUAAUAACAA